UACGUAGGGGGCAAGCGUUAUCCGGAUUUACUGGGUGUAAAGGGAGCGUAGACGGCUGCGCAAGUCUGAAGUGAAAGCCCGGGGCUCAACCCCGGGACUGCUUUGGAAACUGUGUAGCUAGAGUGCUGGAGAGGCAAGCGGAAUUCCUAGUGUAGCGGUGAAAUGCGUAGAUAUUAGGAAGAACACCAGUGGCGAAGGCGGCUUGCUGGACAGUAACUGACGUUGAGGCUCGAAAGCGUGGGGAGCAAACAGU
Molecule: ribosomal RNA, 253 nt
Filed under: uncultured bacterium
Lineage: Bacteria
Description: partial 16S ribosomal RNA
Rfam family: Bacterial small subunit ribosomal RNA
Source: RNAcentral